RNAcentral lists this long non-coding RNA (449 nucleotides) under Corvus moneduloides (New Caledonian crow). RNAcentral's name for it is "lncRNA (ENSCMUG00000018249.1)". The record is from RNAcentral. Lineage: Eukaryota; Metazoa; Chordata; Aves; Passeriformes; Corvidae.
UUUAAAUAAAACAUUGGAAGGAAAGGUCUCUAUUUCUAAGUGUGGAAUGCUCUGUUUAUAGACUGAUCUCCACCAGAAAGGAUUCUUGGGCAGAGGACCUGGGGUAUUCUGAGAGGGGCUUGGACAGCUGCUCCUAUGGGAAGCCCAACAACAGAUAAAAUAAGAAGGUCUGCAGUGCUUCUCUGUGCUGGAUGUACUUCUGUACAAACACACCAGUGCUUGACAAGAAAGAUCCACUGUCCAGAACUGUUCGACAUACAGCUGAAAGCAAGCCAGGUUUCUAUUUAAUAAAAAUGUGAGAAUAAAAACAACUUCUUUUGAUCUCUUCUCAUUUCACUAUAUGUUCUUGAAGUACCUAAAUACUGUUUAUUUACACUUGAAAUUGGUGCUGCUGAACUACGACAGCAGAGCUUUACUGAUGGUGUGAUUAACCUCAUCUCCCAUUUUGC